This 468-nucleotide ribosomal RNA is filed under the name uncultured bacterium. RNAcentral's name for it is "partial 16S ribosomal RNA". It matches the Rfam family "Bacterial small subunit ribosomal RNA", at positions 28 to 507 of the family's 1533-position model. The record is from RNAcentral.
GACGAACGCUGGCGGCGUGCUUAACACAUGCAAGUCGAACGGAAGGGCCCUGCUUUUGUGGGGUGCUCGAGUGGCGAACGGGUGAGUAACGCGUGAGUAACCUGCCCUUGACUUUGGGAUAACUUCAGGAAACUGGGGCUAAUACCGGAUAGGAGCUCCUGCUGCAUGGUGGGGGUUGGAAAGUUUCGGCGGUUGGGGAUGGACUCGCGGCUUAUCAGCUUGUUGGUGGGGUAGUGGCUUACCAAGGCUUUGACGGGUAGCCGGCCUGAGAGGGUGACCGGCCACAUUGGGACUGAGAUACGGCCCAGACUCCUACGGGAGGCAGCAGUGGGGAAUAUUGCACAAUGGGCGGAAGCCUGAUGCAGCAACGCCGCGUGCGGGAUGACGGCCUUCGGGUUGUAAACCGCUUUCGCCUGUGACGAAGCGUGAGUGACGGUAAUGGGUAAAGAAGCACCGGCUAACUACGUG